This 510-nucleotide ribosomal RNA is filed under the name uncultured Glomeromycotina. RNAcentral describes it as "partial small subunit ribosomal RNA". It matches the Rfam family "Eukaryotic small subunit ribosomal RNA", at positions 591 to 1092 of the family's 1831-position model. The record is from RNAcentral. Lineage: Eukaryota; Fungi; Glomeromycota.
CCAAUAGCGUAUAUUAAAGUUGUUGCAGUUAAAAAGCUCGUAGUUGAAUUUCGGGAUCAAUUUGCCGGUCGAGACCUCUGGUACGUACUUGUAUUAUUGAUUUCUUUCAUUCUGAUAAAUCAUUGAUGUCAUUAAUUUGAUGACUUUGAGGAAUCGGAACUUUUACUUUGAAAAAAUUAGAGUGUUUAAAGCAGGCUUAUUAGGCUUGAAUACAUUAGCAUGGAAUAAUGAAAUAGGACGAUUGAUCCUAUUUUUGUUGGUUUCUAGGAUUGACGUAAUGAUUAAUAGGGAUAGUUGGGGGCAUUAGUAUUCAAUUGUCAGAGGUGAAAUUCUUGGAUUUAUUGAAGACUAACUACUGCGAAAGCAUUUGCCAAGGAUGUUUUCAUUAAUCAAGAACGAAAGUUAGGGGAUCGAAGACGAUCAGAUACCGUCGUAGUCUUAACCAUAAACUAUGCCGACUAGGGAUCGGAUGAUGUUAAUUUUUUUUAAUGACUCAUUCGGCGCCUUACG